RNAcentral lists this ribosomal RNA (467 nucleotides) under uncultured bacterium. RNAcentral describes it as "partial 16S ribosomal RNA". It matches the Rfam family "Bacterial small subunit ribosomal RNA", at positions 29 to 507 of the family's 1533-position model. The record is from RNAcentral.
ACGAACGCUGGCGGCGUGCUUCACCCAUGCACGUCGAACGGAAAGGCCCUGCUUUUGUGGGGUGCUCGAGUGGCGAACGGGUGAGUAACACGUGAGUAACCUGCCCUUGACUUUGGGAUAACUUCAGGAAACUGGGGCUAAUACCGGAUAGGAGCUCCUGCUGCAUGGUGGGGGUUGGAAAGUUUCGGCGGUUGGGGAUGGACUCGCGGCUUAUCAGCUUGUUGGUGGGGUAGUGGCUUACCAAGGCUUUGACGGGUAGCCGGCCUGAGAGGGUGACCGGCCACAUUGGGACUGAGAUACGGCCCAGACUCCUACGGGAGGCAGCAGUGGGGAAUAUUGCACAAUGGGCGGAAGCCUGAUGCAGCAACGCCGCGUGCGGGAUGACGGCCUUCGGGUUGUAAACCGCUUUCGCCUGUGACGAAGCGUGAGUGACGGUAAUGGGUAAAGAAGCACCGGCUAACUACGUG